UUCAGGAAACAGAAACAGAAUGAUCUCAAUAGGAUUAAAGGGUGUCUUUUUGGCAAACGACCUGCAUUCUAGUCCAGCCCUGAAUCUACGGCUGUUUCCAGGAGCAUAUCAUAUCACGGCCACAGAGAGUUCUGCAAUUUCAGUACGGUUUCAGAAACCCACGAACAUUCCCAUUUUGCAGCUGUGGGAACCAUCUGCUCAUCUACUUUCCUUCAGGGAACCAAAUGGGAUUCUUUCAGAGUAAACGAGGCUCUCCAAAUAAAAGACGCCAACAUUACAGGAGAAAGGCUUCCCAGGAAUGCGGAAAAUCGUGGAAAGCUGUGCACUGGUUCCAGUACAAACAAAUGAGCACUGGCCUCGGCCAGACCGUCACUACCCAACAAAUGUUUCUCAUGCCUAAUGGCUGACUGGACCACUUUUCAAAGAAGCUAUUGCAUCUUUAUAAGUAUCCACAAACCCUGGUCUCUACCCUCCGUUUGUUCUCAGACGAUCCCCUUAUUGAAGGAAAUACAGGUAUUAUAAAUGGCA
Long non-coding RNA from Marmota monax (woodchuck), 528 nucleotides. RefSeq lists it as uncharacterized. NCBI's taxonomy places the organism in Eukaryota, Metazoa, Chordata, Mammalia, Rodentia, Sciuridae. The record is from RefSeq and is a predicted model, not a curated record. The transcript is spliced from 2 exons.